Molecule: ribosomal RNA, 253 nt
Filed under: uncultured bacterium
Lineage: Bacteria
Description: partial 16S ribosomal RNA
Rfam family: Bacterial small subunit ribosomal RNA
Source: RNAcentral
CGUAGGGUGCGAGCGUUGUCCGGAAUUACUGGGCGUAAAGAGCUCGUAGGUGGUUUGUCGCGUUGUUCGUGAAAACCGGGGCUUAACCCUCGGCGUGCGGGCGAUACGGGCAGACUUGAGUACUGCAGGGGAGACUGGAAUUCCUGGUGUAGCGGUGGAAUGCGCAGAUAUCAGGAGGAACACCGGUGGCGAAGGCGGGUCUCUGGGCAGUAACUGACGCUGAGGAGCGAAAGCGUGGGGAGCGAACAGGAUU